RNAcentral lists this unclassified non-coding RNA (374 nucleotides) under uncultured fungus. RNAcentral's name for it is "partial contains small subunit ribosomal RNA, internal transcribed spacer 1, and 5.8S ribosomal RNA". The stretch from base 1 to 73 matches the Rfam family "Eukaryotic small subunit ribosomal RNA", at positions 1759 to 1831 of the family's 1831-position model. The record is from RNAcentral. Lineage: Eukaryota; Fungi.
GCAAACUUGGUCAUUUAGAGGAAGUAAAAGUCGUAACAAGGUUUCCGUAGGUGAACCUGCGGAAGGAUCAUUAACAAAUCCUGUUGUUGGUGCAUGCAAUGAUUAUGUUGUUGCAUGGUCAACACAUUAGCGCCGCAGCCGCAAGGCUGCGUGAGCAGCGGGGAUGUGGGUUGUAUGGGUGCGCGAUAUACAAUACAGCAAUGUAUAGCAAUAUAUAUGUGUUGUUGGCAGUCAUGCCUAUAUUGCUGCCCAUUCUUCACCUAUCCCCGUCGUAUAUCUAUUAUAUACAUUUUAACGUCUGUCCGAACGUGACCAAACAGAAACAAACUUUUAACAAUGGAUCUCUAGGCUCCUGCAUCGAUGAAGAACGCAGC